GCAAGUCGAACGAGGGCCCAGAGCUUGCUCUGGUGACCCGAGUGGCGAACGGGUGAGUAACACGUGACCAACCUAUCCUAGGGCGGGGGACAACCCGGAGAAAUCUGGGCUAAUACCGCAUGAUGUUGUUCCUUCGCAUGUUGGAACAAUCAAAGAGGGCCUCUGCUUGCAAGCUCUCGCCCAGGGAGGGGGUCGCGACGUAUCAGUUUGUUGGUGGGGUAAUGGCCUACCAAGACUACGACGCGUAGCGGAUCUGAGAGGAUGAUC
RNAcentral lists this ribosomal RNA (267 nucleotides) under uncultured bacterium. Its description in RNAcentral is "partial 16S ribosomal RNA". It matches the Rfam family "Bacterial small subunit ribosomal RNA", at positions 57 to 305 of the family's 1533-position model. The record is from RNAcentral.